This 88-nucleotide transfer RNA is filed under the name Bacteroidales bacterium. Its description in RNAcentral is "tRNA-Leu". It matches the Rfam family "tRNA". From Rfam's summary of the family: Transfer RNA (tRNA) molecules are approximately 80 nucleotides in length. The record is from RNAcentral. Lineage: Bacteria; Pseudomonadati; Bacteroidota; Bacteroidia; Bacteroidales.
GCCGCAAUGUUGGAAUGGUAGACAAGAAGGACUUAAAAUCCUUUGGGCAGUAAUGCUCGUGUGGGUUCAAGUCCCACUUGCGGUACAA